This 1285-nucleotide ribosomal RNA is filed under the name metagenome. Its description in RNAcentral is "bacterial LSU rRNA". It matches the Rfam family "Bacterial large subunit ribosomal RNA", at positions 1643 to 2925 of the family's 2925-position model. The record is from RNAcentral.
AGUACUAAAACCGACACAGGUAGGCGAGAUGAAUAUUCUCAGGCGCUCGAGAGAACGCUGGUUAAGGAACUCGGCAACAUAACCCCGUAACUUCGGGAGAAGGGGUGCCUUCUGGGGUGUCAAAGCUCUGGGAGGCCGCAGAGAAAUGGGUCUAGCGACUGUUUACUAAAAACACAGGUCUGUGCGAAGGCGCAAGCCGAGGUAUACAGACUGACGCCUGCCCGGUGCCGGUAGGUUAAGGAAGAGGGUUAACGGCGUAAGCCGCGAAGCUCGCAACCGAAGCCCCGGUAAACGGCGGCCGUAACUAUGACGGUCCUAAGGUAGCGAAGUUCCUUGUCGGGUAAGUUCCGACCUGCAUGAAUGGCGUAACGACUGGACCACUGUCUCAACUAGCGACUCGGUGAAACUGUAGUUGUUGUGAAGAUGCAACAUACCCGCAACUAGACGGAAAGACCCCGUGAACCUUUACUGCAGCUUAGUAUUGGGUUUAGGCCCAGCAUGCGUAGCGUAGGUGGGAGACUGCGAAACUGGUGUCUUGGCAUCAGUAGAGUCGACCAAUGAAACACCACCCUUGUUGUGCUUGAAUUCUAACCCCGUCCCGUCAUCCGGGCGGCGGACAGUGCUAAGUGGGCAGUUUGACUGGGGCGGUCUCCUCCCAAAGAGUAACGGAGGAGUUCAAAGGUACCCUCAGCCCGGUCGGCAAUCGGGCACAGAGCGUAAACGUAGAAGGGUGCUUGACUGCGAGUCCUAUCAGACGAGCAGGUACGAAAGUAGGAGUUAGUGAUCCGGCGGUGCUGGAUGGAAAGGCCGUCGCUCAACAGAUAAAAGGUACUCCGGGAUAACAGGCUUAUCUCCCCUGAGCGUUCACAGCGGCGGGGAGGUUUGGCACCUCGAUGUCGGCUCAUCGCAUCCUGGGGGUGGAGAAGCUCCCAAGGGUUUGGCUGUUCGCCAAUGAAAGCGGUACGUGAGCUGGGUUUAGACCGUCGUGAGACAGGUCGGUCCCUAUCUGUUGUGGGCGUAGGAAGCUUGAGCGGCUUUCUCCCUAGUACGAGAGGAUUGGGAGGGACGUACCUCUGGUGUUCCAGUUGUCGUGCUAGCGGCAGCGCUGGGUAGCCACGUACGGCACGGAUAAACGCUGAAGGCAUCUAAGCGUGAAACCCCCCGCAAGAUUAGGCUUCCAUCCGCAAGGUGAAGGCUCCUGGAAGACUACCAGGUCGAUAGGCCGGGUGUGUAAGUGCAGCAAUGCAUUUAGCUAACCGGUACUAACAGCCGAUCGCUUCGCCGC